AUUUGAAUUUUGUAUUUAUAAAUUACAUUUUUAAAAUUAUAAAAUUAUAUAUAUAAUUACUAAAAUUAUUUAAUAACAAUUAUAAAACAAAACACAAAAUAAAUUAUGCACAUCUAAGUAAUGAAAUAUAUAUAUAAGAUAUUCGUCUAAAUGUAUAAAUUACUUUACAUGUUAUUCAUAUAACUAUAUUUUAGAUUAUUAGUUGAAAAUAAUCGUGACAAAAAAUUAGAUUAGCUGCGCAAAAAGGCAAAUAUGUCAUGGUAGGUGUUCAAAAUCGAUUGAAUUAAGCUCAUCAACAAUUGACUUAAGUUUAAAAAUCGAUUGAUUUUGAUGCUUCUUUGCAUUGAAUCAAUUCACGAAUCUCCAAUUCGCCUAAUUCCUUAAAUUAAAAUCCAUUACUCCACAAAAAUUGUAACGUUCUGACCGCCCUUACCAGUGGGCUCCAUUUCCUCUCUAGGGCCCAUGAACCCACAUAUGUCCGACUGUUGGUCUGCUAUUUCAGGAAAACUUUAAAGACUUAUUUACCAAUCCUACAAAUCACCACAUGAUCUUUCCUUAUGUUUUGUUUUCACUCACACAGUUCCGACAAUCACUUUCCAGAAGGUUACUCAUCCUGAAACCUUUCUAGCUCAAGCAUGCUUAACUGUAGAGUUCUCUCAAGAUGUUUGACCCAAAAGAUAAACUGCACUUUGGUGACAUAAGUGGCCAAAUCAAUUCUUUUAAAACCCUUAUGCAUGCACCACCAUAUUCCUGAAACUGGAGUGUUACAGUAAUCGUUUAAUUUUGUCAACAAAAUUAGUGAAGAAGAAGAUGAAGAAAUUGGAAAUAAUGGUGAAAGUGACCGAUUUAAUACAUGUUUGAAGAUCAAACGACGAAAACUUCGUCGGAAAUGAAGAUUGGAGCUCGGAAGUUCUUGCCGAAGCUUCACGAAGCUCUCGCCGGAUAUGACGAUCGGAGAUCAGAUCUCUCGCUGAUGAUGCGUUUUCUACGAUUUCUUAUAUUCGAUCAAAGAUUUUAAUUAUAUUAUUAUUUAAAUUAUUUAAAAAAUAUAAAUAAAGAAAGAAUGCUAUUUGUGUCCCAAUUGAAAUACUUUUCGAAGCAAUUUCUCUCUAGUAUUUAUUUUUUAUACAUGCAUAAAAUGUAUGUAAAUAUUUUUUUUUAACUAAAACUACUAUUUACUUUUUCUAAAUAACAAUUUAUGGUAAGAAAUGUUUAGUUUAUUUUAAUUAAAAUUUAAUAUACAAUAAAAAAAAACCUCGCAUGUUAGACAAGUAUAAUCUAUUGUUAUUUAUAAUCAUGGGCUUUUUGGUUUCACCAUUAUCGUUGCCAAUUAUUAUUUUAUUAUUUUCGUUUUUUU
Molecule: small RNA, 1357 nt
Filed under: Arabidopsis thaliana (thale cress)
Lineage: Eukaryota; Viridiplantae; Streptophyta; Magnoliopsida; Brassicales; Brassicaceae
Description: ATSL029940
Source: RNAcentral